RNAcentral lists this ribosomal RNA (253 nucleotides) under uncultured bacterium. Its description in RNAcentral is "partial 16S ribosomal RNA". It matches the Rfam family "Bacterial small subunit ribosomal RNA", at positions 524 to 776 of the family's 1533-position model. The record is from RNAcentral.
UACGUAGGGACCAAGCGUUGUUCGGAUUUACUGGGCGUAAAGGGCGCGUAGGCGGCUUAACAAGUCACUUGUGAAAUCUCCGGGCUUAACUCGGAACGGCCAAGUGAAACUGUCAAGCUAGAGUGCAGAAGGGGCAAUCGGAAUUCUUGGUGUAGCGGUGAAAUGCGUAGAUAUCUGGAGGAACACCGGUGGCGAAGGCGGCAUCCUGGACCGGCAUUGACGCUGAGGCGCGAAAGCCAGGGGAGCAAACGGG